CUGCCACUUCCUCUUGAAGGCUAAACCCGCCAGCAUAAUGGCCUCAGAUGAGCCCACUGUUCCCACCCCUACUGCAGUUUCUGAGUCCCCCAGCGGCGCAUUGAAUAGAUGCGCUAUCAUAUUUACGCACCGAUUCUGCAAUUCGGUUGUGACGGGGUACUCGUCCAUGUCCACAUAGUUCUUGUUAAUGGCCGCCAUGAUGAGCUUGUCGCACUCUGGUUCCAUCCAUGUGGUGACGAACGACGCCAGGUUCAGCCGCGGAUUCCCGUCCAGCAUCAACUCGUCGUUUAUUAUCUGGUACGCCGCCUCCUUCGGUAUUGAAUUCUCCGACAUCUUGAACCUGCACUCUCCGGCCACGGCGCGCCGAUCAAUUAAUUCCAUCACCGUCGAAUAUAUACCCCCCCCCCUCCUUUUUUCUCAAUUUAAAAACAAACAAAACUACAGGAAGAAUCAAUUAGACAGUGGAUCGUUAGAUACCUGGGAAGCGAAGCUCGGACAUAUCGAGAAGCGAAGGUGGAGUGGACGGAGACGUCGGAUUCCGAUGCCGUCUUUGAGAGAACCAUGGUUGAUCCAGAAAAAAAUAAAAAAGCAGAGAGAGAGAGAGAGAGAGAGAGAGAGAGAGAGAGGAUGAGGAGGCUUGAACAGCAGACAGGCCUAGUGGCAAUUCUAUAUGUAGUGGCUGUCUGCUUUUCACAUCUGUUGUAAACGAUUUGACUUUGAUACUCAAUAAUGCAUU
This is a long non-coding RNA of Malania oleifera, 736 nucleotides long. RefSeq lists it as uncharacterized. The record is from RefSeq and is a predicted model, not a curated record. The transcript is spliced from 2 exons. Lineage: Eukaryota; Viridiplantae; Streptophyta; Magnoliopsida; Santalales; Ximeniaceae.